Nomia melanderi (Alkali bee) is the source of this 790-nucleotide non-coding RNA. The record is from RefSeq and is a predicted model, not a curated record. NCBI's taxonomy places the organism in Eukaryota, Metazoa, Arthropoda, Insecta, Hymenoptera, Halictidae.
CUGCCGUCGGUAAUCGAUACCUAGAGACGCUAUUAGUUUUUACUCGAAUGUCGAAUCGACGCGACGUGUUGUGUUCCACGUGAUGAAAGGUGAGAAUGUUCAAAAAGAGCUGCUCAGUGGGGUGCGAAAGUGUGAAAAUAAUGGAGCUGGACACGAAAUGAGUGGGUGCGAGCAGGAGAAGACUAGCCUUUUACUCGACGUGAAUGAAGAUGGCAGUGUCCUGUGGACAGGGGCAGCAGUGCAAUUGGAGUGUAAACAUCUAAAUGAAAAUAUCAUCAAAUAAUACGUUUUGAAAACUUCAAGGUCAACUUGGGGUGGAUUGUCCUGUCAGGCAUGAAAGGGUUGAAGGCCGUCUGUCCAGGGACACGUACACCAUUAUACCUUAUCUCGGUCGCUCUGCUGUAUCUUAAGGAAUGCCAGGACCGUAGCGGCUCUUUGUUUACACGUAUAACCUCACACAGCCGAAUCCUUGUCAAACUUUAUUAACACUUCCCUCAGGAACGGUUUGUCUGCGAUCCAUGGCUCUCUGCCGAACUUUCUCCUUUUAUAUCGAAUGGGAUAUACAUAAUACAAACUUGAACUAUGUAAUACUAGAUCAAAAAUCUAUCGAAAUGAUACACUAUAAGUGAAAUCUCGUCAGAUUUUCUUUUAUUCUAGUAAUUAGUACGCAUUUUUACAGAUUUAUGGAAAUUUUGCUAGUGCAAGAGUGCUGACUUUACGUGUAGUAUAAGAAAUAUACAAAAUAUUCACUGUAUUGUUGUUUACAGUACUUAUUGACACUAAAAUUAUC